AUCUUCCUGCUCUCCGCCUCUUCUGCCUCCGUCUGCCCUGAUUUUGCAUCUCCUGCCAGGCCUGCCAUCACCUUCUGAUCAAAUAUUAAUGCCUGAUUCUCUGCUUGCUCACCAAUUCAAAGCCAAUUAAUAUUAUCUGUCAAUUAUUUACAGGUCCUGAGGUGCGGAAGCGAUUCCCGGAGGACUACGGCGAUCAGGAAAUUCUGCCCACGGUGGCCAAGUUCUGUUUCCCUUUCUACGUGGACAGCCUCACGGUGGGACAAGUGGGACAGAACUUCACGUUUGUCCUCACGGAUAUCGACAGCAAACAGAGGUUCGGCUUCUGCCGUUUGUCCUCGGGGGCCAAGACCUGCUUCUGUAUCUUAAGGUAAGCCAGAGUUUGCUCUAUCUCCUCCCUCUAGGACAGGGAUCCCC
Non-coding RNA from Pantherophis guttatus, 414 nucleotides. Lineage: Eukaryota; Metazoa; Chordata; Lepidosauria; Squamata; Colubridae. The record is from RefSeq and is a predicted model, not a curated record.